GACAGAGGGUGCAAACGUUGUUCGGAAUUACUGGGCGUAAAGCGCGUGUAGGCGGCUCGGCAAGUCGGAUGUGAAAGCCCUGGGCUUAACCUAGGAAGUGCAUUCGAAACUGCCAAGCUUGAGUUCUGGAGAGGAAGGCGGAAUUCUCGGUGUAGAGGUGAAAUUCGUAGAUAUCGAGAGGAACACCGGUGGCGAAGGCGGCCUUCUGGACAGCAACUGACGCUGAGACGCGAAAGCGUGGGGAGCAAACAGG
This 253-nucleotide ribosomal RNA is filed under the name uncultured bacterium. Its description in RNAcentral is "partial 16S ribosomal RNA". It matches the Rfam family "Bacterial small subunit ribosomal RNA", at positions 524 to 776 of the family's 1533-position model. The record is from RNAcentral.